CUACGGGUUGCUCCAGUGGGGAAUAUUGGACAAUGGGCGCAAGCCUGAUCCAGCAAUGCCGCGUGAGUGAAGACGGCCUUAGGGUUGUAAAACUCUUUCGCUAGGGAAGAUAAUGACUGUACCUAGUAAAGAAGUCCCGGCUAACUCCGUGCCAGCAGCCGCGGUAAUACGGAGGGGACUAGCGUUGUUCGGAAUUACUGGGCGUAAAGAGUUCGUAGGCGGACUGACAAGUUAGAGGUGAAAUCCCAGGGCUCAACCCUGGAACUGCCUUUAAAACUGUCAGUCUAGAGACCGGAAGAGGUUAGGGGAAUACCUAGUGUAGAGGUGAAAUUCGUAGAUAUUAGGUGGAACACCAGUGGCGAAGGCGCCUAACUGGUCCGAUACUGACGCUGAGGUGCGAAAGCGUGGGGAGCAAACAGGAUUAGAUACCCGAGUAGUC
RNAcentral lists this ribosomal RNA (439 nucleotides) under uncultured bacterium. Its description in RNAcentral is "partial 16S ribosomal RNA". It matches the Rfam family "Bacterial small subunit ribosomal RNA", at positions 339 to 795 of the family's 1533-position model. The record is from RNAcentral.